GAGUUUGAUCCUGGCUCAGGACGAACGCUGGCGGCGUGCCUAAUACAUGCAAGUAGAACGCUGAAGUCUGGUGCUUGCACUAGACGGAUGAGUUGCGAACGGGUGAGUAACGCGUAGGUAACCUGCCUCAUAGCGGGGGAUAACUAUUGGAAACGAUAGCUAAUACCGCAUAACAGUAUUUACCGCAUGGUAGAUAUUUGAAAGGAGCAAUUGCUUCACUAUGAGAUGGACCUGCGUUGUAUUAGCUAGUUGGUGAGGCAACGGCUCACCAAGGCUUCGAUACAUAGCCGACCUGAGAGGGUGAUCGGCCACACUGGGACUGAGACACGGCCCAGACUCCUACGGGAGGCAGCAGUAGGGAAUCUUCGGCAAUGGGGGCAACCCUGACCGAGCAACGCCGCGUGAGUGAAGAAGGUUUUCGGAUCGUAAAGCUCUGUUGUAAGAGAAGAACGUGUGUGAGAGUGGAAAGUUCACACAGUGACGGUAUCUUACCAGAAAGGGACGGCUAACUACGUGCCAGCAGCCGCGGUAAUACGUAGGUCCCGAGCGUUGUCCGGAUUUAUUGGGCGUAAAGCGAGCGCAGGCGGUUUGAUAAGUCUGAAGUAAAAGGCUGUGGCUUAACCAUAGUACGCUUUGGAAACUGUCAAACUUGAGUGCAGAAGGGGAGAGUGGAAUUCCAUGUGUAGCGGUGAAAUGCGUAGA
This 702-nucleotide ribosomal RNA is filed under the name uncultured bacterium. Its description in RNAcentral is "bacterial SSU rRNA". It matches the Rfam family "Bacterial small subunit ribosomal RNA", at positions 9 to 694 of the family's 1533-position model. The record is from RNAcentral.